AGAGCGAACGCUGGCGGCAGGCCUAACACAUGCAAGUCGAGCGCGUGUAGCAAUACACGAGCGGCAGACGGGAGAGUAACACGUGGGAACGCGCCCUUCGGUUCGGAAUAACUCAGGGAAACUUGAGCUAAUACCGGAUACGCCCUUACGGGGAAAGAUUUAUUGCCGAAGGAACGGCCCGCGUCCGAUUAGCUAGUUGGUGAGGUAACGGCUCACCAAGGCGACGAUCGGUAGCUGGUCUGAGAGGAUGACCAGCCUCACUGGGACUGAGACACGGCCCAGACUCCUACGGGAGGCAGCAGUGGGGAAUAUUGGACAAUGGGCGCAAGCCUGAUCCAGCCAUGCCGCGUGGAUGAUGAAGGCCUUAGGGUUGUAAAGUCCUUUAACGGGGAAGAUAAUGACGGUACCGUAGAAUAAGCCCGGCUAACUCCGUGCCAGCAGCCGC
Molecule: ribosomal RNA, 445 nt
Filed under: uncultured bacterium
Lineage: Bacteria
Description: SSU rRNA
Rfam family: Bacterial small subunit ribosomal RNA
Source: RNAcentral